UACAGAGGUCCCAAGCGUUGUUCGGAUUCAUUGGGCGUAAAGGGUGCGUAGGCGGCGCGGUAAGUCGGGUGUGAAAUCUCGGGGCUUAACUCCGAAACUGCAUUCGAUACUGCCGUGCUUGAGGACUGGAGAGGAGACUGGAAUUUACGGUGUAGCGGUGAAAUGCGUAGAUAUCGGGAGGAACACCUGUGGCGAAAGCGGCUCACUGGACCACAACUGACGCUGAGGCGCGAAAGCUAGGGGAGCAAACAGG
RNAcentral lists this ribosomal RNA (253 nucleotides) under uncultured bacterium. Its description in RNAcentral is "partial 16S ribosomal RNA". It matches the Rfam family "Bacterial small subunit ribosomal RNA", at positions 524 to 776 of the family's 1533-position model. The record is from RNAcentral.